This 359-nucleotide ribosomal RNA is filed under the name Rhizobium rosettiformans. RNAcentral's name for it is "bacterial SSU rRNA". It matches the Rfam family "Bacterial small subunit ribosomal RNA", at positions 66 to 455 of the family's 1533-position model. The record is from RNAcentral. Lineage: Bacteria; Pseudomonadati; Pseudomonadota; Alphaproteobacteria; Hyphomicrobiales; Rhizobiaceae.
GCGCCCCGCAAGGGGAGCGGCAGACGGGUGAGUAACGCGUGGGAAUCUACCGUGCCCUACGGAAUAGCUCCGGGAAACUGGAAUUAAUACCGUAUACGCCCUACGGGGGAAAGAUUUAUCGGGGUAUGAUGAGCCCGCGUUGGAUUAGCUAGUUGGUGGGGUAAAGGCCUACCAAGGCGACGAUCCAUAGCUGGUCUGAGAGGAUGAUCAGCCACAUUGGGACUGAGACACGGCCCAAACUCCUACGGGAGGCAGCAGUGGGGAAUAUUGGACAAUGGGCGCAAGCCUGAUCCAGCCAUGCCGCGUGAGUGAUGAAGGUCUUAGGAUUGUAAAGCUCUUUCACCGGUGAAGAUAAUGAC